AGACAUUCAUUUCCCAUCUUCUCACCUGGCAUUUUGAGAUAAUCACUGGCUACUCUUUGGACUCUGGUCCCUGAAAAGGAGCCAGUUUGCUUCCUGAACUAAACCAGUGCCCUGAGAUGGAAGCAGGAUAUUAUAUAAACCACCACCACAAACAGCAUACCAGGAAAACACAACUCAGAUCUUCCUGGCUCUUCCACUAGCUGUGAGACAUGGGGCAAGGCUCCAGAUUCAGCUGGGCCUUUAUUAACCAGCCCUGGAGUUAAAUCAUCAACCCAGAGGUCUGUCCUAGCCCUGGAGCCCAAGGAGACCCCUGAUUAUGCAGCAAGCAGGGCUGAAGUUUCCAUUUAAUUUUUGCAUCACAUCUUUAGCACUAUUGGACAUCCUAGAAACCUCAUUCACAAGAUUUCAAGUUUGAAGUGAUAGUGUUUGCUACCAGAGCCCCUUUUCUGUCAAAGAAAUUAGAAGCAGGAAGGUUGAUGCAUUCCCCCACAGAAAGAAAAGAGGUCUUUUAGAAUAAUGUGAAACUCACACUCUGCAUGGGGACAGUUGGGCUCACAUAUUUUCCCACCGAUAGACAAGAGAUUACCAGAAAAGGGGUGAGGAAUCCAGAGAGAAUGUCUGCAUAAGAAGGAGGGUGGAGAUUUCUUACUGAACUAAAGGCUUCAAGAAUUGGCAAAUACCUGCUCAAUGUUUUUCCAGACUUUUGUAUUUCUGAUGACUGGAUGACUCCACCUGGACCCGAGACUCAUGACUCACCCAGUCCUGUGGCCCCACCCAGAAGUGGACUCAGAGCAAGAGGACCAUUUUCCACACCCCAAUGAGUGCAUCCCCAACCAAUCAGCAGCACCUGUUCCCUAGCCCCCUGACCACCAAACUCUCCUUGAGAAACCGUAGCCUCCAAAUUUUCUGGGAGGCUGAUUUGAGUAAUAAUAAAACUUUGGUCUCCUAUGUAGCUGGCUCUAUGUGUAUUAAACUCUUCCUCUAUUGCAAUUCCCCUGCCUUGGUAAGUCGG
This 1012-nucleotide long non-coding RNA is filed under the name Homo sapiens (human). RNAcentral describes it as "HSALNT0111432". The record is from RNAcentral. Lineage: Eukaryota; Metazoa; Chordata; Mammalia; Primates; Hominidae.